Molecule: long non-coding RNA, 407 nt
Organism: Corticium candelabrum
Lineage: Eukaryota; Metazoa; Porifera; Homoscleromorpha; Homosclerophorida; Plakinidae
Exons: 3
Source: RefSeq, a predicted model, not a curated record
GCCAUUUCUUGAGUACGGCUUCUCGAGGGUAAGAGACUGCUGUUCAAGCUGAAGUCGCCUGAUUCACACUCUGACAGAUACACGUGGAGUGGAAGCACUGACUACUCAUUGCCUAGCGAUGGAUUAGUUUUGGCGAGUGAAAUCAUGCCACCUGGGAACUCAUUUGGGUGUGGAAAAUAUGGAAUUAUCUUGGCUCGGACAGACUGAGCAUAGAGUUGAUGCAAUUCAAUGUUCGACCAAUUGUCUAUCAGUAAGAAGUACAAAAAUGCUAAUGCUACUCAAAUACAUGUGAGAGGCUGGCUAGACGAGACUAGCUAAAUGACGUAUAUCUGAAUUAGAAUAUAUUGAUAUACAUCUGAAUUAGAGAUGAAACUCAACAUUUCGCAAUAGAAUCGGAUGCUUUUGUG